GGAGGGUGCAAGCAUUAAUCGGAAUUAUUGGGCGUAAAGGGCGCGUAGGCGGAAAAGAAAGUCAGACGUGAAAUCCCGGGGCUUAACCCCGGAACUGCAUUUGAGACUUCUUUUCUAGAGGGUAGACGGAGAAAGCGGAAUUCCACAUGUAGCGGUGAAAUGCGUAGAUAUGUGGAAGAACACCAGUGGCGAAGGCGGCUUUCUAGUUUAUACCUGACGCUGAGGCGCGAAAGCAAGGGGAGCAAACAGGAUUAGAUACCCUGGGUAGUCCUUGCCGUAAACGAUGUAUACUUGGUGUAGCUGGUCUCAACCCCCCAGCUGUGCCGUAGCUAACGUGUUAAGUAUACCGCCUGGGGAGUACAGUCGCAAGGCUG
This 374-nucleotide ribosomal RNA is filed under the name uncultured organism. Its description in RNAcentral is "partial 16S ribosomal RNA". It matches the Rfam family "Bacterial small subunit ribosomal RNA", at positions 527 to 896 of the family's 1533-position model. The record is from RNAcentral.